CGCCUGGUUUAUCAAAAACAUAGCUGGAAGAAAUCAUUUUCAGUGGCGCCUACCCAGUGAAUUUUUUCAACGGAUCUAGUUGUAUUAAAGUAGCGAAAUCAUUUGUCUUUUUAUUGAAGACCUGUAUGAACGGUCUAGACAGAAAGGAACUAUUUCAAAUUAAAAAAGAGAAUUUAAUAUUAAGGUGAAAAAUCCUAUAAAAAAGAGUGGGACGACAAGACCCUAUAGAAUUUUAUGAUUUUCAAUAUUAAUAAAGUAUCAGAAAUCAUUUUGUUGGGGCAACAUAGGAAAAAGCUUCCUAAACCAAAAGUUUUAUUAUGAUAAAAAAGAAAAUCCUUUAAAAGAAUUAAAAAAAAUUACCUUAGGGAUAACAGCGUAAUCUUCUUUGAGAGACCUUAUCGACAAGAAGGUUUGCGACCUCGAUGUUGGACUAAGAUAUCUUUUAAGUUGCAGAAGCUUAAAAAGUUAGCCUGUUCGGCUAUUAAAAUCUUACAUGAUCUGAGUUCAGACCGGAAU
RNAcentral lists this ribosomal RNA (516 nucleotides) under Jellyella tuberculata. Its description in RNAcentral is "partial 16S ribosomal RNA". It matches the Rfam family "Bacterial large subunit ribosomal RNA", at positions 1796 to 2622 of the family's 2925-position model. The record is from RNAcentral. Lineage: Eukaryota; Metazoa; Bryozoa; Gymnolaemata; Cheilostomatida; Membraniporidae.